RNAcentral lists this transfer RNA (75 nucleotides) under Faecalibacterium prausnitzii. Its description in RNAcentral is "tRNA-Gly". It matches the Rfam family "tRNA". From Rfam's summary of the family: Transfer RNA (tRNA) molecules are approximately 80 nucleotides in length. Their secondary structure includes four short double-helical elements and three loops (D, anti-codon, and T loops). RNAcentral also lists the same sequence under 6 other names. The record is from RNAcentral. Lineage: Bacteria; Bacillati; Bacillota; Clostridia; Eubacteriales; Oscillospiraceae.
GCGUGCAUAGCUCAACAGGUAGAGCGCCCACCUUCCAGGCGGGUGACGUUGGUUCAAGACCCGCUGCACGCUCCA